GAUGAACGCUGGCGGCGUGCCUAAUACAUGCAAGUCGAGCGAACGGACGAGAAGCUUGCUUCUCUGAUGUUAGCGGCGGACGGGUGAGUAACACGUGGAUAACCUACCUAUAAGACUGGGAUAACUUCGGGAAACCGGAGCUAAUACCGGAUGAUAUUUUGAACCGCAUGGUUCAAAAGUGAAAGACGGUCUUGCUGUCACUUAUAGAUGGAUCCGCGCUGCAUUAGCUAGUUGGUAAGGUAACGGCUUACCAAGGCAACGAAGCAUAGCCGACCUGAGAGGGUCGUCGGCCACACGGGAACUGAGGCAGAGUCCAGACACCUACGGGAGGCAGCAGUAGGGAAUCUUACGCGAUGGGGGAAAGCCUGACGGAGCAACACCGCGGGAGGGAUGAAGGUCUUCGGAUCGGAGAACUCUGUUAUUAGGGAAGAACAUAUGUGUAAGUAACUGUGAACAUCUUGACGGUACCUAAUGAGAAAGCCACGGCUAACUACGUG
This 497-nucleotide ribosomal RNA is filed under the name uncultured bacterium. RNAcentral describes it as "partial 16S ribosomal RNA". It matches the Rfam family "Bacterial small subunit ribosomal RNA", at positions 28 to 507 of the family's 1533-position model. The record is from RNAcentral.